Molecule: ribosomal RNA, 309 nt
Filed under: uncultured Methanobrevibacter sp.
Lineage: Archaea; Methanobacteriati; Methanobacteriota; Methanobacteria; Methanobacteriales; Methanobacteriaceae
Description: bacterial SSU rRNA
Rfam family: Archaeal small subunit ribosomal RNA
Source: RNAcentral
CGGUUUAUUAAGUCUCUGGUGAAAUCCCGUAGCUUAACUAUGGGAAUUGCUGGAGAUACUAGUAGACUUGAGGUCGGGAGAGGUUAGAGGUACUCCCAGGGUAGGGGUGAAAUCCUGUAAUCCUGGGAGGACCACCUGUGGCGAAGGCGUCUAACUGGAACGAACCUGACGGUGAGGGACGAAAGCUAGGGGCGCGAACCGGAUUAGAUACCCGGGUAGUCCUAGCCGUAAACGAUGCGGACUUGGUGUUAGGAUGGCUUUGAGCCGCUCUAGUGCCGAAGGGAAGCUGUUAAGUCCGCCGCCUGGGAA